GGUGCAUCAGCCCGACCCCCGGGGCUGAAGCACGACGACCUCCGCCUCCUCCCCCCCUGGCGGGGGUCGUCCCUU
Non-coding RNA from Mycobacterium kansasii 824, 75 nucleotides. Lineage: Bacteria; Bacillati; Actinomycetota; Actinomycetes; Mycobacteriales; Mycobacteriaceae. The record is from Rfam.